Carica papaya (papaya) is the source of this 5953-nucleotide non-coding RNA. The record is from RefSeq and is a predicted model, not a curated record. NCBI's taxonomy places the organism in Eukaryota, Viridiplantae, Streptophyta, Magnoliopsida, Brassicales, Caricaceae.
UCUAUAAUUUCAGGUAAAGAGUAAGGUAUCUCUACGGUCGUCUUCCACCAGAACUUGUAAAAGAAGUUACUUUUGACCGCCAAGUGCCAUACGGAUGUAGAACGAUAAGCGAAGAAAGACUAAUCAAUAUCCUUACUUCUUACAUGGCUCUUGCAGGAGUUCUUUACAAUCCCUUAUUCUUCAACAAUUGGUUGCUGUCGAGCCCUAGAGAAGCUUCUCACUACACAUUCCGUUACUUGACACUUUCAAGCUCAUCUAUGGAUUCAAACAUCGAUAGAAGUUAUCAAAAGCAACGUUUUGUGGCGCAAAUAACUGGUUCUACAACAACAAAUGAUUGCUCCAACAAGAGAAUUCCCAUGUAUUAACUGUUGUCGGGUCUGAUUCAGGAGCUGGUGCUGGAAUUCAAGCUGAUUUGAAAACUUGUGCUGCUCGUGGAGUUUACUGUUCCACUGUCAUAACUGCUGUCACGGCACAGAACAAUGUUGGGGUUCAGGUUGCACUUUGAUAUUACUUUUCUCCUUAAAAAAAAAAAAUCCCGAAAUUGAAGCAAGCUUUUGUUUACUCAAAGAUUUUCUCAAACAGCUCGGUGGAGGGUAUUAACGCUUUGCCAGCAGAGUUUGUUGCAGAGCAGUAAUGAUUACAUUUUAUGGGUAUUUCAUUCAACUGGUUUCGUGAGUUGGUCUGACUGGUUUGAUUUUAUUGAGGUAAUUGGUCAUGAAUUAUGUCUUUUAGAACAGAUAAACUUACAGCAGUAUGUGUAUGCAUUUUAUAAGCGCAAAAGAAGAAAUAAUUAAGGAAAUUUAAUAUUCUUUUUGGAAAUUAUAAUAAACUAUUGGACAGAAGAAAAUUAUCAGUCGCUAUAAGUCCCAAUUUGAACUGAGCUUAUGGUAUCUCAUAAGAUUACAUAUAAUUUUCUUGAGUUGAAAAAUUAGGUCUUAAUUUGAAGAAAAGAUAAUAAAGUAGUCAAAUUGAAAAAGAGAUCAAUGCUCCCAAUAUUAAUUGAGUAUUAUGAAAGCACUUGGAUUUGAUAAGAUCCAAUACAAGUUUUUUAAGUUAAAAAAUUGGGAUUUAAUUUUGAAGAAUACAUAACAAACUAAUCUAGGGAAAAAAAAGCCCAAAUGCUCUAAGUCCCAAUACGAUUUAAAUUUUGACAGCAUUUGGAGAUAUCCCCAUGCUGUCCUUCUGGGGGAUUCACACUUCAUUUUUCUUGGCUGUUUAAGCUUUUUACCGUGCUGUUUCUGUCACCAAGAAUGUUUUUGGUGUCAGAAAAAAGAUCUUUUGAUGUGGUUUUGCAAGCAGAAGUGGAGGAUAUCCUUAGAAUCAGAAAAAGGUUCGCCUCUUAUCUUCUUAGCUUGGAAAUCAGAUAUUUGAAGCUUUAGGGCCAUAAUUCUUGAUCCAGAGUUUAUAAGAGUGAGGGCAGGUUAUCUCUAUCUGGUUGAAAUGGAACAGCAGGGGCAUCUUCUAGAGCUGAAAGAGAAGAACAAGGGCAGUAAAGGGAGUUUGAUGAUCCUCAAACCAAAGCAGAGGGUUGGUGGCAACUGUCAAUGGGGGUUUGUUUGGUUUCCGACAUCAAUUUAGAGGACAGGAAGAGGAAAGCCCUUGAGGAACCUUGCUGGUCGGAGGAAGAGGUAGAGAUGCCAAAGAAAUCGCCAGUUCUAGAGGCCUAAGGAUAAUGUUAAUGGGCCAAAUCUACCAAGACCAAAUUCCUCUAGGCAAGAGAAAGAAAAGUAAGCUGCUAAUGACCAUAAAAAGGCUGCUAGUAAUGCUGUUUCCUAAAGACCUUGCAAAAACAACCAAGCUGGUAAUAAAAAAACCAGACCAAGUGACAUGAUCCUAGACGGCUCAAAGUUAGUUCCCAAAGAGCAACCCCACAUCGAGGAGGAACCCCAAAAAAUCAGGAUUCUCGUAGGUCUUGUCCCAAACAGGCAAGCAAUUCUAAAUUCUUUUCAUUUCCUAAAUGGGGUCGACUCAAACGGGAAAUAAUCCUAGUUUCCUAAACUAGAACCCCCUGAAAAGAAAAGUAACUACAUCUCUAACUACUUUUCUCAACGGGAUUACUCCAAAGAAUGGGAAAAAUUUGUUCAAAGCAAGCUUAAAGCCCAAGUGAGAUUAAUGGGCUCGAAGGAUUGCAAGAAAGUCCAAAUGUUAGAUCAACCAGAGAAGGCCUCAAGACCAAACAGCCACGGCCCAAAGGAGAUCGCGCCAAAGGAAGCGGGCCAGCCCAUGCCGCGUCUUGGGAAGCUUUUGCCACACGCUUGUGCGGGAUGAACAAGCCACAAAGCCAACACGCCUGGGAAAAGUCGAAGCCGCCUGCAGCAGAGUGCGCAUGUGCGCGCAUUAACUCCAGCAGGCCACAUGCAGGACGCGCAUGUGGGGACAGCCUCUGCCGCAUGCAUGCACCAGCCAUGCACGCGAAGAAGCUUCUACGCGCGCUAGGCGCAGACAGCAAGCUUGCGAACCAAUUGCACGCGGACAGCCUGGACAGCAAGCUGUUUUCCUUCUCCAACUCCUUUUCCUUCCCUUAUUUCCACAUGUUUUCCAUGCUGCAACAAAGGAGGCUCCUACACAAAAUUGAAGUCCAAAAGAGCACAAAAGGAGUUAAGGAGUUCAAACAAAGGAAGAAGUAGUCUACUCCUAGUCAUUCGAUAUUAUUUUAUUAAUAUAAUUGGAGUUCUAGAUUAAGAUUCAAUUGUUUAAAUAAUUUCCAGCAAAAGUUCUGGUUAAAUUAGUUUUAAGAGUUCAAGUAGGAAUAUGUAAUCCUACUUUGGUUGUAUUCGUAAAAUAAAGUCUAUAUAAAGGUUUCAAUCUUUAGGUUGUAAUCACAACUAACAACUUUCAAGAUCAAUAAAAUUUGCAAGAUUUUGCUUCUUAAAAUUAGUGUUGUUGAUUUUCUUUUAGUGUUCUUUAAGUGUCUUCAAGGUAGGGAGUUUCAGAAGCCUUGUUGAGUCAGGGAAUCAGGAUUGAUUUAUCGGGUAAACUUUGACAUCCUUCCUUAUUCUUUUAUUUUUUCCAGUUAUUUUGAAUUUGCAUUCCAUAUUGGUGGGUGUAAUUUCAAGUAAAGAGGGUAAAUUGGGUGAUUAAGCUUUCCGGUGUCACGUUGUGUGAGGUUUUGGAAGUCAAAACAAUCAUUCCCCGACCCUCCCACGUCACCAAGUCCAUGUUUUAGAGCACUCUUCCUCAUCAAAAGGCUUGCUUUUCAACUAGGGAGCCAAACUGCCAGUCUCAAGGCAAUGCAUAAAAAGUGGAGGUAGAAACGUCUUCACAUUGUUUAUCAAGGUCUGAUUUCUUCCUCUCUGGAAUUUCCUCCUCUUUUGGCUAGACUUGGAACUUGUGAAAGGAGAGGUUGCUCCCAUGCUUGCUAAGGUAGUAAACCAGUUGCAGGGCAUGGUGUUUGCUGUAAUGGGCUGAUGAACAAAAGAGAAGUUUCUGUUUGCGUGAAAAAUAAUAUUGUGAAGAUGCAUAAGGAGUAUGAAGUGAGCUUGUAAGGUUUCAAACAACAAGCAUUCAAUUUGUUCUGUGCUAUGGAGGCUAAAAGAGAGGGAGAGUCCACUGAUGACAGGUCUCAUAAAAGCAGGAACAGGAGGGGCAAGGGUGAAAGAACAAGAAAAUCUAGGGAGCUUAAAUGGUUAGAAUGCAUAGCCAAUUAUGGUAAGAAGGGCACUUCAAGGAAGUUGAGGGAGAAAGAAGACAUGAAACCAUUAAUUAGAAUUAUUUUCUGGAACAUGAGGGGGUUGAACGUUAAGGGGUCAUAAUGAAGGGCUUCCUUAAGGAAUGGGGUGGCAGUCUAGUUUUUCUGCUAGAUACUAAAUUUGCAAGCAUGAGUGAGGAUAUUUUCAGGGUACAUACAGUAGGCAGGAGGUUGUUUGAUUGGAUCUAUCUGCAGAUGGGAGUGUUGGAGAAAUCAUUAUCUUGUGGGAAAAUCAACCAGAAAUGUUCGGUGUUGUACACUGAUGGUGCCCAUUUCUUGUGUAUGAAAAACAGAAGUGGGGGUGUUUCUUUCCUUUUCGUGGGGUGUAUGGAAAGGGGAAAGGUAGAGAUAGGCAUUUGUUAUGGAAUGAUCUUGAGGCAACUAGGGGUUAAUGGGGUAACUUGCCUUUGUUUGUGGGUGGUGGUUUUAAUACAGUGUUCUACUAUCAUGAUAAGUGCAAGAACAGAUUUCUCUUCGGUGUCUACUAUGAAUUUAGAUGUGUUGGAUACUGGAAGGUUAUUUAUCUCUCCCUCGUGCAGGGCAAAUGGACAUGGUCCAUUUUGAGAGAGGAUGCUUGCCUACCUCAUAUCGAUCAAUUUUGGUGUCUCUGUAUUUUUAAGAAUUGAUGCCUAACUUUAUCCAAAACUUUUGCUCAGGGUCAGUUUGAAUCACCAUCCCUUAUUUCUUGGCAAAUUUGGCAUUAGAUGAGCCACUUUCCUCUAGAUUUUAGAAUAAAUGGCUGAAGAUGCCUAGAUCUUGGUUGAUUAUAAGUUGGUGAAGAGAGGAGAACUCGAGAGGCUUUUGCUAGUUCUCGAGUUAUUAAAAAUCUUUCUUUCGUCCAAUCCAAAUAAAAGCUUGGAGCUCUGCUUUCAAUAACGGUGGUAGGUUUGUUGGGAAGGACUAGGCAGAUUGAUGUCCUCAAUCAAAGGGAGAGGGAAGGUUGACAAACUUGAUUCUUAUGGUGGAAGUGGUUUGAAGGCAGAGAUCUAGGUUCUUGUAGUAGGGGGACCGCAAUACUUAAUUUUUUCAUAGGAUUACCAAUUUCCAUUGCACAAAAAAUUUUAUAUCCCUAAUCAAGGUUAAUGGGAUUGGAUUCAAGCUUGAUAUGUUCCUAUCAACUGGAUCUGGUUGAACACUCCCCUCUGCUUGUUCGUGUGGAUGUGGAUGGUCUAUAGAUAAUUUUUCCAAUCUACCUUAUUUCAAAAAGAUUUUUUCCAAUCUGCCAGCCAGAAAUUUGUACUUUAACUGAUUGUCUUCAUGAUCUUCCUGGUAAAUUUUCAUGAAAGAUUCAAACUGGCCUGUAAUUCAAACCUUGGCUAUAAUUCACUCAUAACUUUUGGCUCUGAGACCAAAUUGUUAAGGCCCUUAGUGACAUAUCUAGUUAUAGAAAAUUGAAUCUAAUAAGAGUUUGGUAAUGUUUGUGAGUUUUUUUUUCCUUUGCCUAUUUUGAUAUCUACUUUAAGGACUCGUCAAGAGAGAGCCUUACUUUCUCUUGAGAAAAAGUACUUAAACUUUUUCUUUAGUUUUGUUCAUACGUAAUUCUGUCUUCAUACAUAAUUCUGUCUCCAAGAGACUGCAGCUUUUGUUACAAACAAAGGAGUAGUUACCUAAAAGUUAUUUUCAGAUUUAUCUUGACUAGCAUUUUGUUCUUAUCUUAAUAUUCAGCCUUACAUUUUUUGAAGCAUAAAUUUGAUGCAUGUGGAGUAGCCAAGGAUUUUGUGGCAUAUGUUAAAAGGCAAAUUGGUUACUCUUUCAAAACUUUAAGAACUGAUAAAGGCACAUAAUAUAUUACUUGUGAUGAUUUUUAAGAAAACAUGAAAUUAAGCAUCAGUUACUGACUAGGUACACUCCUCAACAAAACGAAGUGGCAGAAAGAAAAAAUAGAACCAUUAUGGAUAUGGUGAAGAGCAUGUUGCAUUGUAAGAAGUUACCUAAGUUUUUGGGCAGAAGCCAUUGCUUGUACAGUUUAUGUUGUAAACAGAUGUCCUGUUAAAAGUGUUCGUAAUAAAAUCCCACAAGAAGUGUAAAGCGAACAAAAGCCUAAUUUGAGUCGUAUGAGGAUAUUUGGUUCAAUUACUUAUUCACAUGUAGCAGAUGAGUUAAGGAAAAAACUUGAAGACAAAGCGGACAAAUGCAUCUUCACUGGUUACUGUAUGGAAACAAAGAGCUACAAGGUGUACAAUCCAAAGGCCCAAAAAGAUAAUCAUUAGCCGUGGUGUUAACUUUUGAUGAAGAUGGAGUAUGGGAAUGGUGAGAAGAAGAAAA